RNAcentral lists this ribosomal RNA (497 nucleotides) under uncultured bacterium. Its description in RNAcentral is "partial 16S ribosomal RNA". It matches the Rfam family "Bacterial small subunit ribosomal RNA", at positions 28 to 507 of the family's 1533-position model. The record is from RNAcentral.
GACGAACGCUGGCGGCGUGCCUAAUACAUGCAAGUUGAGCGCUGAAGGUUGGUACUUGUACCAACUGGAUGAGCAGCGAACGGGUGAGUAACGCGUGGGGAAUCUGCCUUUGAGCGGGGGACAACAUUUGGAAACGAAUGCUAAUACCGCAUAAAAACUUUAAACACAAGUUUUAAGUUUGAAAGAUGCAAUUGCAUCACUCAAAGAUGAUCCCGCGUUGUAUUAGCUAGUCGGUGAGGUAAAGGCUCACCAAGGCGAUGAUACAUAGCCGACCUGAGAGGGGGAUCGGCCACAUUGGGACUGAGACACGGCCCAAACUCCUACGGGAGGCAGCAGUAGGGAAUCUUCGGCAAUGGACGAAAGUCUGACCGAGCAACGCCGCGUGAGUGAAGAAGGUUUUCGGAUCGUAAAACUCUGUUGGUGGAGAAGAACGUUGGUGAGAGUGGAAAGCUCAUCAAGUGACGGUAACUACCCAGAAAGGGACGGCUAACUACGUG